ACCUCAGUGGUAUAGUGGUAGCACGCAUCCCCCGUAUGAAUGAAACGCGGGUUCGACUCCUAACUGAGGUU
Non-coding RNA from Parelaphostrongylus tenuis, 71 nucleotides. The record is from the annotation of a GenBank genome assembly. NCBI's taxonomy places the organism in Eukaryota, Metazoa, Nematoda, Chromadorea, Rhabditida, Metastrongylidae.